AAAAAAUUUCACCACCAAGUUUUAUACUCGAUAAUAUAUCUCCUUGAGAAAGUUUACAUAUAUAUAAUGUACCAUCUGUACAAGCAAUGCACAUGUAAUCAUCUUCGCACCAAGGAGUGGCAUAAAUUGAUAAAAAAUUAUCAACUUUUCAAGUAUCGUCACCUUUAUAUCAGCCUGAAUAUCAAAACAGAUUAAUGUACCUCCUACAGAACAAAACAAUACAAAUCCAUUAUGCAGUGUAAUAGGUGAUACAAAUAUAGGAUUCAUUAGUUUAUUUCUCCAAAAAAUAUCUCCUUUUGAUUGAUUUAUUGCUACGCAAGAACCGUCUAAAGUUCCAAAUAAUACUGUUUCUGUUGCCGAAUGUAAGCAUCCACUGGCUGAAAUACUUCCAUUGCUGGCUUUCACGCUCCAAAUUUUGGUUCCAUUCUAUAUUUAAUAUUUAUGGUUUUAAUUUGAUUUAGCUAAUGAUAAAUAUAUACGUUAUCACAUACUUCGGUAGAAAGGCAGUACACAUUAUUAUCAUAAGAUCCAAUGUAUAAUUUAUUUUGUGAUUCAGAUAAUAGAGCUGUACAUUUUAUUAUAUCUUUUGUUUGAUAUUUCCAAAUAAUAUCGCCUGUCUUUAAAUAAAAACAAUAAAUAUGACCAUCAUAACAUCCUAAAAAUUGCAUCGAUUGUAAGAAUGAAGAUUCAUCAUAAUGUAUAUGAUUAAAAAAAUAAAAUAAAAUAAAAUAAAAGAAUACUUACCAACGAUACCUUUAAAGUUAUCUAAAACUACAACUGAAGAUUCAAUUCUAUUUGGAAGUUGAAUUUUAUAUACGACACUAUUAUCUUCUGCCUUAAGUUCAACAGUGCAAAUCAUGCCUGAAUGCGAACCAACAGUAACAAAUGUUCUUUUGCUAAACAAUGUAAAAAGAAAAUAAAUUGUAUUAUUUCUUUUUAUAUGAAUAAAAAGAUAUAAUCGUACUCACUUAUAUUGAAAUACAGUUGGUGAUGCAUCUACACAUUUAAGUAAAUCGAAUGUAUUUUUAACACGAAUAUUAAACAUUGCUUUUUUAUCAAA
Vespula pensylvanica (western yellowjacket) is the source of this 1060-nucleotide long non-coding RNA. RefSeq lists it as uncharacterized. The record is from RefSeq and is a predicted model, not a curated record. Lineage: Eukaryota; Metazoa; Arthropoda; Insecta; Hymenoptera; Vespidae. The transcript is spliced from 2 exons.